The submitters of this non-coding RNA (55 nucleotides) gave its source as unclassified sequences. The record is from Rfam.
UAUAUUUGCCAACUAAUUCAAUUACAUAAAAAUCAUUAAACUUAAUAUUGGCAUG